UGAUUUUAUUAUAGUUAAAUUUUUUAUUAUUAUUUUAUUUUACAUGUAAAUUUUUGUGGGUAAAAGUUAAUUUUUUAAAAAAGUUAAUUUAAUUUAUUAUUCUCAGUAAUUAAUAUUAAUAUAUAAAAAGAAAUUUUGUAUUAGUAAUAAUAUUUAAUAUUGGUAAAAUUUGUGCCAGCUACCGCGGUUAUACAAAUAAUGUUAAUAAAAAUUUUUAAUAUUAGUUAAAUUGUUUAAUUAAUAAUAUAAAUAAAAAUUUAUUAGGUGAAAUUAUUAAAUUAUUAUUAUUAUUAUAUUUUAAUUAAUUUAAGCUAUAAACUUUUUAUAAUAAACUAGGAUUAGAUACCCUAUUAUUGAAAAUAAAUAAUAAAAUAUUAAAGUAGUAUUAGUUAUAUUCUUUAAAUUUAAAUAAUUUGGCGGUAAUUUAGUCUAUUCAGAGGAAUCUGUCCUAUAAUUGAUAAUCCACAUUGAACCUUACUUAAAUUGAUUUAAUUUGUAUAUCGUCGUCAUCAGAAUAUAUUAUAAGAUAAAAUUUUCUUAAUUUAUUAUUUAUAAAAAAUGUCAGAUCAAGGUGCAGUUUAUAUUUAAGUAGAGAUGGAUUACAAUAAAUUUAUUUAAAUGGAUAAAUUUUUGAAAUUAGAAUUUUAAAAUUGGAUUUGAUAGUAUUAUAAAAUAGAUUAUUUAUAAGAUUUUAGCUCUAAAUUAUGUACAUAUCGCCCAUCGUUCUUAUUAUUAAAAUAAGAUAAGUUGUAACAAAGUAGAUGUACUGGAAAGUGUAUCUAGAAAGA
This 788-nucleotide non-coding RNA is filed under the name Toxorhynchites speciosus. Lineage: Eukaryota; Metazoa; Arthropoda; Insecta; Diptera; Culicidae. The record is from RNAcentral.